This 395-nucleotide long non-coding RNA is filed under the name Rattus norvegicus (Norway rat). Its description in RNAcentral is "long non-coding RNA NONRATT007318". Lineage: Eukaryota; Metazoa; Chordata; Mammalia; Rodentia; Muridae. The record is from RNAcentral.
ACUGAGACAUCUUUCUGGCACUGCUAGUGUGGUGAGCGCUGGUUGCUGAGGGUUUUGGUCCCAAUUGCUGUCAGUAGUGAUCCAGCCAUUCCCCAGUCCAGUGCGGCCGGGGUUCCCCGCCUCCAUUGAAGAACGGAGCCAUGGAAGACAAACCACUGGUAGUAUCUAAACAGAAGACAGAGGUGGUAUGCGGUGUGCCCACCCAGGUGGUCUGCACGGCCUUCAGCAGCCACAUCCUGGUUGUGGUGACCCAAUUCGGGAAGAUGGGUACGUUAGUCUCCUUGGAGCCCAGCAAUGUAGCCAAUGACAUCAGCAAACCAGUGCUCACCACAAAAGUCCUUCUCGGGCAGGACGAGCCUCUCAUCCAUGUCUUUGCAAAGAACCUGGUAGCAUUC